UACAGAGGUCCCAAGCGUUGUUCGGAUUCACUGGGCGUAAAGGGUGCGUAGGUGGCGGGGUAAGUUUGAUGUGAAAUCUCCGGGCUUAACCCGGAAACUGCAUUGAAUACUAUUCUGCUCGAGGUUUGGAGGGGGGACUGGAAUUCUCGGUGUAGCAGUGAAAUGCGUAGAUAUCGAGAGGAACACCAGUGGCGAAGGCGAGUCCCUGGACAACACCUGACACUGAGGCACGAAAGCAUGGGGAGCAAAAGGG
This 253-nucleotide ribosomal RNA is filed under the name uncultured bacterium. RNAcentral's name for it is "partial 16S ribosomal RNA". It matches the Rfam family "Bacterial small subunit ribosomal RNA", at positions 524 to 776 of the family's 1533-position model. The record is from RNAcentral.